This 1287-nucleotide long non-coding RNA is filed under the name Equus caballus (horse). RNAcentral describes it as "lncRNA (ENSECAG00000053719.1)". The record is from RNAcentral. Lineage: Eukaryota; Metazoa; Chordata; Mammalia; Perissodactyla; Equidae.
GAGGGAAAGCCUGUGGAGAGAGAGUGAUUGAAAACACUUGAAAUCAGGUAUAAAUGAUGAAGCAUUUUGACAGAGAUGAUUGGAGUAUAAGUUGGAGAAUAUCCUUGGAAAGAAACAGUUAGGCCUUACCAUUCUUGAGUAAUUCACAAAUGUAUUUGUGAAGGUCUCUCCAGAGGAGAGCUAGUGUCAUACCUCUAAUCUGAGAUUUCUGGUGGAAGUCCUACAUGACUCUGGCCUUUGCUUUGUGCAUGCAUGACAAGAAUGAGUUUGUGUGUCAUGGUAACUUACUCAACGAUGAGAAUUGAUUUCACCAGUCUGCGAGAGAUAAAUGUGGACACCUUCGCAGCAUGGCCUGGUGAGCGGUGUGUAGGUCGGUGCCUGACAUCCAAAGCCAUGAACCCUGGGCCACUGAAGCUGAGCACGCAAACUUAAGCACUAUGACCCGAGGCCAGCCCCUGCCAACAGCCUUUUUUAUGCCAAUCACAUUUUUGUUUAGAUUGCUAUACUCUUAUUGUUCCCUCUUUGUGGAAGAUUCUUCUCCUUGAUCUCUUAUCCUGAAUUCUUUUCAUUUGUAAGGUAUUCCCUCUAGGGUCCCAUUUCUAGAGUCUUUCCUCAGUCAUACUGUAUGAUAUUUCACUACACUCCUCAGUCAACCUCCAUCCUAUUACUAGCUUUAUUCCUUUCAUAAUUCUACUAUAUGAAACUCUUUCCUUCCUUCUUUCCCUCCCUCUCUCUUUUCUUCUGAUUUCCUUACAGCCUUCUUUUCUCUAUGUCUAUCUCUGUCUGUCCGUCUGUCUCUCAUUCACUUUCUCCAACCUCAUUCUUUUAGGUUUAUAUGGUUUUACUUGUUUAUUAUCUCUUUCCCUCUUUCUGAGAGAGUACUUUCAGAAAAAAAGAAACUGCACUGGGUCUUCAGCAGAUAAUUCAAUAUAUAUUUUCACAGUAUUGGAGAACUGGAAAAGCAAAAAGAUGACACUGAAGUAAAAUAGAUAUUGCAACUGCAGGCAUCAGCUACUACCCCUAUUGCUGACAGAGAAAAAUGGAAGAGGCAGAGAGUACAAGAACCUAAGUAUUCACAGGAUGGGUCUGGCAAAGACAGGCUCAAACUUCUGAGAAGCUGCUAACUGACCCUUGGCAGUGCUUCAAGAACUUGGAGAAAUGGGCCCCAUGGAACUGAGACUUAGACUGCUACACAUGGGAUGCUAUCUGGCUUGUGCUAAAGAUGCUGGAGAACAAACCAUAUGCCGCAGCAGAGAGCUAAAAGUUUAAAAACCAACAUAUCUCAUC